AAUCCCCGGGCUAUUUGUAACCUGCCCUGUGACACGGAUCCACCCGUGCCAGUUUUAACACUAGAGGUCAAGGAGCUGCCAGAGGAGCUCAUGGUAAUCCAAAUGAGGAGAAGAUGACAGAAUGCACUCAUUAUCCUGAGCAGUCGAGAGCUGUGGAGAACAACGAUGCAGCAGGCAGCUGAGGUGUUGCAGAGGUUCUGAUUUAAGUAGAGCAGCCCUUGGAAUUAAGCUAUAAGAGGACAAGAAUUAUGGACACCCUAAAAAGGCAGAGUCAAGUAGUUCGUGAAACUAUUUUGUGAUGUUUGGA
This is a long non-coding RNA of Octodon degus (degu), 307 nucleotides long. RefSeq lists it as uncharacterized. The transcript has 3 exons. The record is from RefSeq and is a predicted model, not a curated record. NCBI's taxonomy places the organism in Eukaryota, Metazoa, Chordata, Mammalia, Rodentia, Octodontidae.